Molecule: ribosomal RNA, 157 nt
Filed under: Stenopirates sp. NK-28-05
Lineage: Eukaryota; Metazoa; Arthropoda; Insecta; Hemiptera; Enicocephalidae
Description: 5.8S ribosomal RNA
Rfam family: 5.8S ribosomal RNA
About the family: 5.8S ribosomal RNA (5.8S rRNA) is a component of the large subunit of the eukaryotic ribosome. It is transcribed by RNA polymerase I as part of the 45S precursor that also contains 18S and 28S rRNA. Functionally, it is thought that 5.8S rRNA may be involved in ribosome translocation.
Source: RNAcentral
UAUCCUGAACGGUGGAUCACUUGGCUCGUAGGUCGAUGAAGAACGCAGCAAACUGCGUGUAAACUUGUGAACUGCAGAACACAUGAACAACGACAUUUUGAACGCAAAUUGCGGCUCUGGAACUAUGUUCAAGAGCCAUGCCUGUCUGAGGAUUGUU